UACGUAGGGUGCGAGCGUUGUCCGGAAUUAUUGGGCGUAAAGAGCUCGUAGGCGGUUUGUCGCGUCUGCUGUGAAAACUCGGGGCUUAACUCCGGGCCUGCAGUGGGUACGGGCAGACUAGAGUGCGGUAGGGGAGACUGGAAUUCCUGGUGUAGCGGUGAAAUGCGCAGAUAUCAGGAGGAACACCGGUGGCGAAGGCGGGUCUCUGGGCCGCCACUGACGCUGAGACACGAAAGCGUGGGUAGCAAACAGG
Molecule: ribosomal RNA, 253 nt
Filed under: uncultured bacterium
Lineage: Bacteria
Description: partial 16S ribosomal RNA
Rfam family: Bacterial small subunit ribosomal RNA
Source: RNAcentral